Long non-coding RNA from Sycon ciliatum, 626 nucleotides. RefSeq lists it as uncharacterized. The record is from RefSeq and is a predicted model, not a curated record. The transcript is spliced from 3 exons. Lineage: Eukaryota; Metazoa; Porifera; Calcarea; Leucosolenida; Sycettidae.
CGCCACCUCCCACCAGCGGCCGAAGCGCCACCAAGCAGCUAGCUCACCUACACUGCAUGCUACAGCCUACUGACAGUCUGUAGUAGUAGUACAAUGUCAUGCUACUGCGGUGUCCUCAUGUAAUUAAUUUGGUAUUCAGAUCAAGUGCAGCGGUCGAGGAGGCAGCUCAUUGAAAAAGGUAGAGAGAAGAGUUGACCACCUUCCGAAAAUCCUUUCGACUUUGAAGUUUCGUGCACCGUCUUUCAGCAGACACGUUUUUUUCUAACCUCGUUCGUUCGGUAACUCAAGUACGCCGUUGGAGUCUCGCAGUCUAGCCCAGCUUGGUUUGAAACAGCGCUCGGUGAAGAGAAUCUAUGCGUGCGGACGCCUCGUGCUAGGGCGUUUGGGCGCAGGAAACCGCGGGUGCUGGCAGUCGCAUCCUGCAGCAGGAAAUUUGUCCGAAUACUUGUACCUGAGCAGCCGUCCCAUCGGAUCUCGAAGGACUAGCUACCCGUGCCACUCAACAUUUCCAAACACUCACUGUUUCCAUUGGUGGCAAGUCAGCACACAAGCACUAGUACUGUGGCCAGUAUUGUGGCUAGUACUGUUGUUGGUACUCUGGCCCAGGUAAGACAGUAUUAUUAUAC